Long non-coding RNA from Homo sapiens (human), 589 nucleotides. NCBI's taxonomy places the organism in Eukaryota, Metazoa, Chordata, Mammalia, Primates, Hominidae. The record is from Ensembl.
GAUGACAAUGUUCAUUCAUUAAUAAAACCUUUAGAAUUGGAACUACAAAAAAUAGUGCAUACAUAUCGUGGAAAAAUUUACUAAAUAUUUAUCAAACAAUUAGCAAAAACAUAAGAGAUCGCUAUGUCAGAUCACCAAAGGAAAGGUGAUUCUUGUUGCCUGCUACAUCAAAUGGAUGAAAAGAACAAAGCAUUGGAGGAUAAGUAUGAAGGAACUGUCUUGGGUGAAGCAUUAAGGCAGGAAUUAUUCAUCUACAGAAUUUUUUUUUUCCUGAAGAGGUUAAAUGAGCAGUAUUUUCAGGUAAUGAAGAAUAAGUUAAAAUCUUGGGCUUCAACAAAGAAAAAUUUUUGGCCUCUGAUGUUGUGUAAUGUUACUUACUAUCAUUCCAGUAUUGAUGAAAAUAUUAUUGAAUGGUUUUAGCCUGCAAACUUCUGUUGACUCAUACUCUCAAGAGUGGUGGGGCUGUGAAAAUGAAGAAAAUGUACCUCAAACACAGUGCAAACACUCAGAUGAGUCAGCUCUCUUCAGGAUGCGCAUUUAUUUCUCCCUUUGGAGGAGGCCUCAGUCCAGCUCAGCCAAGGACUGAAAG